GCCUGACGGAGCAACGCCGCGUGCGGGACGGAGCCCUUCGGGGGUGUGAACCGCUUUUGCCGGGGACGAAGCGAUGACGGUACCCGGCGAAUCAGGGCCGGCUAACUACGUGCCAGCAGCCGCGGUAAUACGUGGGGCCCGAGCGUUGUCCGGAGUCACUGGGCGUAAAGCGCGCGCAGGCGGCCCGCCAAGUCCGGCGUGAAAGCCCCGGCUCAACCGGGGAGGGUCGUCGGGGACUGGCGGGCUUGAGGGCGGCAGGGGCCGGUGGAAUGCCCGGUGUAGUGGUGAAAUGCGUAGAGAUCGGGCGGAACACCCGUGGCGAAGGCGGCCGGCUGGGCCGUUCCUGACGCUGAGGCGCGAAGGCGUGGGGAGCGAACGGGAUUAGAUACCCCGGUAGUCCACGCAGUAAACGAUGCGGACUGGGCGUGGGGGGACGUUGACCCCCUCCGUGCCGGAGCCAACGCGUGAAGUCCGCCGCCUGGGGAGUACGGCCGCAAGGCUAAAACUCAAAGGAAUUGACGG
This 522-nucleotide ribosomal RNA is filed under the name uncultured bacterium. RNAcentral describes it as "bacterial SSU rRNA". It matches the Rfam family "Bacterial small subunit ribosomal RNA", at positions 381 to 916 of the family's 1533-position model. The record is from RNAcentral.